AUUUUUUUUCUCCUCCCCUCAUUUGCUGGUCCUCCCCACCACUGCAUGUUUUCUCUUCCCUGUCUUUCUCGCAAAGCCCUAGCUACUGCCAUACACAACCCACCAGUCUUCCUUAAUCAAACGACCGAAAUGCCACCGCUGAACAACAGAUGAUCCUUCUGACACAACUCCAAACUGCCAGAAGCUGCCUAGAAUCCGAGAUCCGCCCAGGUCAAAUUUUGACCUCAAUCAACUCUGGCCUUGAUUCCAACAAUACGACACACCCCAGAGGUUCAUGGAAUGUUGAUGGUCGCAUUGACAUGGUCAGAUUGCUUGUUGGACCACCCACACACCUUACAUUCUGGGUUGGGUCAAAUCCUCUCCUAAAACUCAAUUGAGCUCACACUGUUAUGUUACAUAUAGCAGAGCUAGAUAUGGGAAA
This 421-nucleotide unclassified non-coding RNA is filed under the name Hevea brasiliensis (rubber tree). The record is from RNAcentral. Lineage: Eukaryota; Viridiplantae; Streptophyta; Magnoliopsida; Malpighiales; Euphorbiaceae.